RNAcentral lists this ribosomal RNA (460 nucleotides) under uncultured Methylomirabilota bacterium. RNAcentral's name for it is "bacterial SSU rRNA". It matches the Rfam family "Bacterial small subunit ribosomal RNA", at positions 977 to 1434 of the family's 1533-position model. Lineage: Bacteria; Methylomirabilota (SeqCode). The record is from RNAcentral.
GGGCUUGACAUCCCACGAACCUGCCCGAAAAGGUGGGGUGCCCGCAAGGGAGCGUGGAGACAGGUGGUGCAUGGCUGUCGUCAGCUCGUGUCGUGAGAUGUUGGGUUAAGUCCCGCAACGAGCGCAACCCUCACCCCUAGUUGCCACCGGGUUAAGCCGAGCACUCAAGGGGAACUGCCAGCGUCAAGCUGAAGGAGGGCGAGGAUGACGUCAAGUCACCAUGCCCCUUACGCCCUGGGCUACACACGUGCUACAAUGGCCAGUACAAAGGGACGCGAGACUGCGAAGUGGAGCUAAUCCCAAAAAGCUGGUCUAAGUUCAGAUUGCAGUCUGCAACUCGACUGCAUGAAGGAGGAAUCGCUAGUAAUCGCGUAUCAGCCCGGCGCGGUGAAUACGUUCCCGGGCCUUGUACACACCGCCCGUCACACCACGAAAGCUGUCUGUACUCGAAGUCGCUGAG